UACGUAGGGGGCGAGCGUUGUCCGGAUUUAUUGGGCGUAAAGAGCUCGUAGGCGGCUUGGCAAGUCGGGUGUGAAACCUCCAGGCUCAACCUGGAGACGCCACUCGAGACUGCUAUGGCUAGAGUCCGGUAGGGGACCACGGAAUUCCUGGUGUAGCGGUGAAAUGCGCAGAUAUCAGGAGGAACACCGGUGGCGAAGGCGGUGGUCUGGGCCGGCACUGACGCUGAGGAGCGAAAGCGUGGGUAGCAAACAGG
This 254-nucleotide ribosomal RNA is filed under the name uncultured bacterium. RNAcentral's name for it is "partial 16S ribosomal RNA". It matches the Rfam family "Bacterial small subunit ribosomal RNA", at positions 524 to 776 of the family's 1533-position model. The record is from RNAcentral.